GACGAACGCUGGCGGCGUGCUUAACACAUGCAAGUCGAACGGAAAGGCCCUGCUUUUGUGGGGUGCUCGAGUGGCGAACGGGUGAGUAACACGUGAGUAACCUGCCCUUGACAUUGGGAUAACUUCAGGAAACUGGGGCUAAUACCGGAUAGGAGCUCCUGCUGCAUGGUGGGGGUAGGAAAGUUUCGGCGGUUGGGGAUGGACUCGCGGCUUAUCAGCUUGUUGGGGGGGUAGUGGCUUACCAAGGCUUUGACGGGUAGCCGGCCUGGGAGGGUGACCGGCUACAUUGGGACUGAGCUACGGCCCAGGCUCCUACGGGAGGCAGCAGUGGGGAAUAUUGCACAAUGGGCGGAAGCCUGAUGCAGCAACGCCGCGUGCGGGAUGACGGCCUUCGGGUUUUAAACCGCUUUCGCCUGUGACGAAGCGUGAGUGACGGUAAUGGGUAAAGAAGCACCGGCUAACUACGUG
RNAcentral lists this ribosomal RNA (468 nucleotides) under uncultured bacterium. RNAcentral describes it as "partial 16S ribosomal RNA". It matches the Rfam family "Bacterial small subunit ribosomal RNA", at positions 28 to 507 of the family's 1533-position model. The record is from RNAcentral.